AUGCAACGCGAAGAACCUUACCUGGUCUUGACAUCCCGGAGACCCUUAGGAAACUAGGGGGUGCUUCCAUCUGGAAGAAUCUGGAGACAGGUGCUGCAUGGCUGUCGUCAGCUCGUGUCGCGAGAUGUUGGGUUAAGUCCCGCAACGAGCGCAACCCUUGCCUUUAGUUGCCAGCAGUUCGGCUGGGCACUCUAAAGGGACUGCCGGUGUUAAACCGGAGGAAGGUGGGGAUGACGUCAAGUCAUCAUGGCCCUUACGGCCUGGGCUACACACGUGCUACAAUGGUCGGUACAAAGGGUUGCCAAGCCGCGAGGUGGAGCUAAUCCCAUAAAACCGAUCGUAGUCCGGAUCGCAGUCUGCAACUCGACUGCGUGAAGUCAGAAUCGCUAGUAAUCGUGAAUCAGAAUGUCACGGUGAAUACGUUCCCGGGCCUU
RNAcentral lists this ribosomal RNA (434 nucleotides) under uncultured Pseudomonas sp. RNAcentral's name for it is "bacterial SSU rRNA". It matches the Rfam family "Bacterial small subunit ribosomal RNA", at positions 954 to 1382 of the family's 1533-position model. Lineage: Bacteria; Pseudomonadati; Pseudomonadota; Gammaproteobacteria; Pseudomonadales; Pseudomonadaceae. The record is from RNAcentral.